RNAcentral lists this non-coding RNA (24 nucleotides) under Arabidopsis thaliana (thale cress). The record is from RNAcentral. Lineage: Eukaryota; Viridiplantae; Streptophyta; Magnoliopsida; Brassicales; Brassicaceae.
AUCAUCAUGCCGAGCUAUUUAUCC